AUGGGGCACCACUCCUGCUGCAACAAGCAGAAGGUCAGGAGGGGCCUGUGGUCGCCAGAGGAAGACGAGAAGCUCGUCAAGUACAUCACGGCGCAUGGCCAUGGCUGCUGGAGCUCAGUCCCAAGGGCUGCAGAGGUGCGGCAAGAGCUGAGAUGGAUCAACUACCUGAGGCCGGACCUCAAGAGGGGAAGCUUCUCGCAGGAGGAGGAAGCCCUCAUCGUCGACCUCCACAGGGUGCUAGGGAACAGGUGGGCCCAGAUAGCCAAGCACCUGCCUGGCAGAACGGACAAUGAGGUGAAGAACUUCUGGAACUCCACCAUCAAGAAGAAGCUCAUAUCGCAGGCCGUGGGCAGCCUCCACUCCGGUAACAUCCCUUCCUCUGCAGAUUUGUACUAUAACAUUCUGGAUGGGGCGGGACAAGGCAUCGCAGCUGCGGGGUGCGCGUCGCUCAACGGGCUGGACAAUGCGGCUCAAGCUGUGGCCACGCAGCCCCCUCCGUCCUCCGCGGCAUGGCUCAAUUUCACCUCCCAGCCGCUGCUCCUCCCCGUCCACGUCCCCGGCUGCGACCUCCAGUACACCGUCGACGGGGAGUUCAUCAGGCUGUGCCGCGAGGCGGCUAAUGCUUGCCCGGAGAACGGUGCCUCUAGCCUCUUGGCUCAAGAAGGCGCGGCUGAUCGGAGCUGCCUCCCGGUGUUCGCCGAGCCAAAGGGCGCCAGCGCUUUCGCCACCGAUCCGGGCAUGGGUCCGGUGGCGGACUUCAUGGACGCCAUCCUCGGGUCCUCGUCCACGUCGGCGGCCAGUGUUUCGUCCGUCGACAGCUUCUCCGCGAACACCGGAAUGCAGCUCCACUGGGUUCCCUGA
RNAcentral lists this ribosomal RNA (861 nucleotides) under Triticum aestivum (bread wheat). RNAcentral describes it as "partial small subunit ribosomal RNA". The record is from RNAcentral. Lineage: Eukaryota; Viridiplantae; Streptophyta; Magnoliopsida; Poales; Poaceae.